Molecule: long non-coding RNA, 777 nt
Organism: Salvia miltiorrhiza (redroot sage)
Lineage: Eukaryota; Viridiplantae; Streptophyta; Magnoliopsida; Lamiales; Lamiaceae
Exons: 3
Source: RefSeq, a predicted model, not a curated record
CUUCACUCCCUCACACUUCAACUCUCGGUCACCACCAAAAAUCCCUCUCUUCCAAUUUUGCUCCAAAAGAUCGCCAUAGAUUAAUCACCAAAGCUUCCAAGUUCACUUCAAGAUCAAAUCCUCCACCAAAUCAACAUAAACACCUUUCAAUUCUUGAAGAUUUCAAGAGGACCGUGGGGUUUGGUUUGAAGAGUGAGAAAGGAAAACUUUGAUCUUUGUUUAAUCUUGGGGUCCGGGCGACAGGAAAUGAAGCUGAAGAAGAAGCGACUCCACGCUAGCUUAAGAACGUUUGAGGUUGAGCAGCUGAUGGAAUGGAAUGGCGUUGAGCGGGUGUUCCUUUGACAUUUCAAGAAAUGUAACCUUGAGUAUACAUCUUCAUAUGUAUAUCUCACACGUUUUCCGCUGCAAAACACUUUGAUUAAGAUAGCUCUAUGUUAUGAAGAUGUGACACGUGUUAUUGGGUAACCCACCUUAAUCAGUUCUCCUUUAUGUGUAUGUUUUAUAAGUAUCCAAAUAAUCAUAUAUGAUCAUAGCAUUUUAUUUAUGAGUGACAUUUUCAUAUACUUUAAUGUUAAGUAAUUGUCCAUUUCCAUUUCUUUUUGUUCACCCCAAGUCAUAACCCCGGUUAACCCGUCAUUGGGAUAGUGGGUUGUGACAGAGUGGUAUCAGAGCAGUUCGUUUGCUCUGGCCCUAGAAACCUUAUUCUAAAAAGCCAAGUCUAGUUUGAUUCACUAGACAUACGUGGGUUAAUACGACACCGCUCAACACUCCAUUGCA